AUAUUCACUGUGUAACAAAAUAGGAUAAGGUCAUCCUUCGCUCCGCCCUUCGGGUAAUGGCGGCCAUCUCGCGAUAUUUGUGUACCUGAUGAGCCUGGAAUUGUUCGGGAUUAAAGCAUUGUCUAUUGAUUAAUUUGGAGGUCACGGUGAUCGUAGCAUUCUUAACAUUGGUUGUUCAUCAGAAGAGAAGCAUCCAUUGAUCAAGGCCAAGUAUUAAAAACAACUUCUAUUUGAACAUAAAGAAAGAAGGGUCUAGAAGACAGCCAUGCCUGCAGUGAAAGGGGAGGGGAUGCGCGGCCUUGCCGUUUUCAUCUCGGAUAUCAGGAAUUGUAAAAGCAAGGAAGCGGAAAUCAAGAGGAUUAACAAAGAGCUUGCGAACAUCCGAUCAAAAUUCAAAGGUAAGUGCGGAAGCUUGUGUGACGAAAAUUGUACAGUGCU
This 438-nucleotide long non-coding RNA is filed under the name Lytechinus variegatus (green sea urchin). Its description in RNAcentral is "uncharacterized LOC121421436". The record is from RNAcentral. Lineage: Eukaryota; Metazoa; Echinodermata; Echinoidea; Temnopleuroida; Toxopneustidae.